Molecule: ribosomal RNA, 476 nt
Filed under: uncultured organism
Description: partial 16S ribosomal RNA
Rfam family: Bacterial small subunit ribosomal RNA
Source: RNAcentral
UACACUCCUGCGGGAGGCGGCAGUGGGGAAUUUUGGCCAAUGGGCGAAAGCCUGAUCCAGCAAUGCCGCGUGAGUGAAGAAGGCCUUCGGGUUGUAAAGCUCUUUUGUCAGGGAAGAAACGGUGAAAGCUAAUAUCUUUUGCUAAUGACGGUACCUGAAGAAUAAGCACCGGCUAACUACGUGCCAGCAGCCGCGGUAAUACGUAGGGUGCAAGCGUUAAUCGGAAUUACUGGGCGUAAAGCGUGCGCAGGCGGUUUUGUAAGUCUGAUGUGAAAUCCCCGGGCUCAACCUGGGAAUUGCAUUGGAGACUGCAAGGCUAGAAUCUGGCAGAGGGGGGUAGAAUUCCACGUGUAGCAGUGAAAUGCGUAGAUAUGUGGAGGAACACCGAUGGCGAAGGCAGCCCCCUGGGUCAAGAUUGACGCUCAUGCACGAAAGCGUGGGGAGCAAACAGGAUUAGAUACCCUGGUAGUCCCAUG